Molecule: ribosomal RNA, 304 nt
Filed under: uncultured bacterium
Lineage: Bacteria
Description: partial 16S ribosomal RNA
Rfam family: Bacterial small subunit ribosomal RNA
Source: RNAcentral
CAGCAGUAGCCGCGGUAAUACGAAGGGUGCAAGCGUUACUCGGAAUUACUGGGCGUAAAGCGUGCGUAGGUGGUGGUUUAAGUCCGUUGUGAAAGCCCUGGGCUCAACCUGGGAAUUGCAGUGGAUACUGGGUCACUAGAGUGUGGUAGAGGAUAGUGGAAUUUCCGGUGUAGCAGUGAAAUGCGUAGAGAUCGGAAGGAACAUCUGUGGCGAAGGCGACUAUCUGGGCCAACACUGACACUGAGGCACGAAAGCGUGGGGAGCAAACAGGAUUAGAUACCCCCGUAGUCCCUGUCUCUUAUAC